This 830-nucleotide ribosomal RNA is filed under the name uncultured archaeon. RNAcentral's name for it is "bacterial SSU rRNA". It matches the Rfam family "Archaeal small subunit ribosomal RNA", at positions 21 to 855 of the family's 1478-position model. The record is from RNAcentral.
GGUUACUGCUAUCAGUAUUCGAUUAAGCCAUGCGAGUCAAAUGUUCUUCGUGAACAUGGCGAACUGCUCAGUAACACGUGGAUAACCCGCCCUAAGGUUCGGCAUAACACCGGGAAACUGGUGAUAAUUCCGAAUAAACCAGAUGUGCUGGAAUGCUUUCUGGUUAAAAGCUUCGGUGCCUUAGGAUGGAUCUGCGGCCUAUCAGGUAGUAGUGGGUGUAAUGUACCUACUAGCCUACGACGGGUACGGGUUGUGAGAGCAAGAGCCCGGAGAUGGAUUCUGAGACAUGAAUCCAGGCCCUACGGGGCGCAGCAGGCGCGAAAAUUUUACAAUGCGGGAAACCGCGAUAAGGGGAUACUGAGUGCCAGCAUUUAUGUUGGCUGUCCACAUGUCUAAAUCGCAUGUGUUAGCAAGGGCCGGGCAAGACCGGUGCCAGCCGCCGCGGUAACACCGGCGGCCCGAGUGGUAACCACUAUUAUUGGGUCUAAAGGGUCCGUAGCCGGUUUGAUCAGUCUUCCGGGAAAUCUGACAGCUCAACUGUUAGGCUUCUGGGGGAUACUGUCAGACUUGGGACCGGGAGAGGUAAGAGGUACUACAGGGGUAGGAGUGAAAUCUUGUAAUCCCUGUGGGACCACCAGUGGCGAAGGCGUCUUACCAGAACGGGUCCGACGGUGAGGGACGAAAGCUGGGGGCACGAACCGGAUUAGAUACCCGGGUAGUCCCAGCCGUAAACGAUGCUCGCUAGGUGUCUGGGACGGUGCGACAGUUUCAGGUGCCGCAGGGAAGCCGUGAAGCGAGCCACCUGGGAAGUACGGCCGCAAGGCUGAAAC